GGGGGUGACUUGGUUUCGACGGGUUUAGUGAGGGGUUAUUGGCGUGUCGAGGAUGUCUGGAGCCUCGUAAAAAAUCCGGUCAAAACAAUUACUUGGCGAAAAUAAUUACGCCAUGGCUGCCUAAUUUAGGUUCAGCCCGUUGUACCUGAUCUUAUGCCUUCAAGAUUGGGAUAUAGCGCCGUUAAAGAAGGCUCGGCUUUUUGAUGUCUAUAAGAGAAGCUUAAACUAAUAGACUGGUUAUAUCAGUGGCCUGGCUUUCGGCAGUUGUUAUAGCGAGAAACUAUAGAUAGCCUACACACGUAGAUGAUGACUUGACAUUAAAUUCGGACGGGGGUUCGAUUCCCCCCACCUCCA
Molecule: transfer-messenger RNA, 354 nt
Filed under: Candidatus Zixiibacteriota bacterium
Lineage: Bacteria; Pseudomonadati; Candidatus Zixiibacteriota
Description: candidate division Zixibacteria bacterium transfer-messenger RNA
Rfam family: transfer-messenger RNA
About the family: Bacterial tmRNA, also known as 10Sa RNA or SsrA, is named for its dual tRNA and mRNA-like properties. Its role is to liberate the mRNA from a stalled ribosome. To accomplish this part of the tmRNA is used as a reading frame that ends in a translation stop signal.
Source: RNAcentral